CAACAAGUGUAUAUAGGAGUCAUGACAAGGAUUUUAAAUCAAAGAUUUCCAUUGCAUAAAAGAGACAUAACCAAUGUUAAAUUGAACAUGGCCCUAACAAUGAGCAUAUAUGACAAAGAACUGGCAGGAGAUUGGCAAGAAGCCCCUGUAAUAAAAUCACUGGCCAAAACGCCGCAUAUCACUUUAGCAGAGACUAUGGAGAUUUUUGCGGGGCGGAAGGGAUAGAGACUCUUGAGUGAUCGCCCAGCAGUACAAUUGGAUGCUUCUUGGAAGUAUCUACUUGAUGGGAUAGAGGGUUGAACUGAAG
Molecule: long non-coding RNA, 307 nt
Filed under: Androctonus crassicauda
Lineage: Eukaryota; Metazoa; Arthropoda; Arachnida; Scorpiones; Buthidae
Source: RNAcentral